AGAGUUUGAUCCUGGCUCAGAUUGAGCGCUGGCGGCAGGCCUAACACAUGCAAGUCGAGCGGUAACACAGGGAGCUUGCUCCUGGGUGACGAGCGGCGGACGGGUGAGUAAUGUCUGGGAAACUGCCUGAUGGAGGGGGAUAACUACUGGAAACGGUAGCUAAUACCGCAUAACGUCGCAAGACCAAAGAGGGGGACCUUCGGGCCUCUUACCAUCAGAUGUGCCCAGAUGGGAUUAGCUAGUAGGUGGGGUAACGGCUCACCUAGGCGACGAUCCCUAGCUGGUCUGAGAGGAUGACCAGCCACACUGGAACUGAGACACGGUCCAGACUCCUACGGGAGGCAGCAGUGGGGAAUAUUGCACAAUGGGCGCAAGCCUGAUGCAGCCAUGCCGCGUGUAUGAAGAAGGCCUUCGGGUUGUAAAGUACUUUCAGCGGGGAGGAAGGCGGUGAGGUUAAUAACCUCAGCGAUUGACGUUACCCGCAGAAGAAGCACCGGCUAACUCCGUGCCAGCAGCCGCGGUAAUACGGAGGGUGCAAGCGUAAUCGGAAUUACUGGGCGUAAAGCGCACGCAGGCGGUUUGUAAGUCAGAUGUGAAAUCCCCGGGCUCAACCUGGGAACUGCAUCUGAUACUGGCAAGCUUGAGUCUCGUAGAGGGGGGUAGAAUUCCAGGUGUAGCGGUGAAAUGCGUAGAGAUCUGGAGGAAUACCGGUGGCGAAGGCGGCCCCCUGGACGAAGACUGACGCUCAGGUGCGAAAGCGUGGGGAGCAAACAGGAUUAGAUACCCUGGUAGUCCACGCCGUAAACGAUGUCGACUUGGAGGUUGUGCCCUUGAGGCGUGGCUUCCGGAGCUAACGCGUUAAGUCGACCGCCUGGGGAGUACGGCCGCAAGGUUAAAACUCAAUGAAUUGACGGGGGCCCGCACAAGCGGAGGAACAUGUGGUUUAAUUCGAUGAUACGCGAGGAACCUUACCCGGGUUUGAACGUAAGGAGACAGGGGUGGAAACAUCCUUUUCAGCAAUGACUGCCUACGAGGUGCUGCAUGGUUGUCGUCAGCUCGUGCCGUGAGGUGUCGGCUUAAGUGCCAUAACGAGUGCAACCCUUACCAUUAGUUACUAACAGGUCAUGCUGAGGACUCUAGUGAGACUGCCGUCGUAAGAUGUGAGGAAGGUGGGGAUGACGUCAAAUCAGCACGGCCCUUACGUCCGGGGCUACACACGUGUUACAAUGGGGGGUACAGAGGGCAGCUACCGGGCGACCGGAUGCCAAUCCCAAAAACCUCUCUCAGUUCGGAUCGAAGUCUGCAACCCGACUUCGUGAAGCUGGAUUCGCUAGUAAUCGCGCAUCAGCCACGGCGCGGUGAAUACGUUCCCGGGCCUUGUACACACCGCCCGUCAAGCCAUGGGAGCCGGGGGUACCUGAAGUACGUAACCGCAAGGAGCGUCCUAGGGUAAAACUGGUGACUGGGGCUAAGUCGUAACAAGGUAACC
RNAcentral lists this ribosomal RNA (1489 nucleotides) under uncultured bacterium. RNAcentral describes it as "partial 16S ribosomal RNA". It matches the Rfam family "Bacterial small subunit ribosomal RNA". The record is from RNAcentral.